CGCAGUAAGAUUGCAUGUGAAUGGUGUGUGUCAAUGCGAUCACGAUGUAAGAAGUCAAAGCUGUUCUGUGGUCUCCGACACGCGUUUGGGAGCAGUCAGAAGCGCUUAGCACUACGGUCCCAGAGCUGUUCAUUUACAACAAGCAACACUUAAAGUGCUGGACCAUGCAACAGUUGGCACUCAGCAUCUUGAGAUUUUUUGUGCACAAAUAGGACGGCCUAAAGAGAGCCCUGGUGUGGAUACAGAAUCCUAUAGGAGAAACCAACAACAAAGCAUCAAUUGUCCAUUUCUGGUCUUAUUACUGUGAAGUCUGAAACUAGCUGGCACACAUUGGUUCUGACAGAAAUGGGUGUCGGCAAGAACACAACUUCAAAAUCCGUGGAAUCUGGUGCAGGAGCCGAAGGCAAAUAUGAAGAAGAAUCCAAGCACUCCUCUUUUUACCCCAUACCAGUAGUGGUAAAUGGAGUAGCCCAGGCCAAUGGAGAGCAGGACACAGAAGACACGGAGCUAAUGGCUAUCUACUCCAAAGAGAAUGGCACAGCAGAUAAGAGCUCCCUCUCAGAGACAAUGGACAGUACUAACAGCAUGGAUGCACAGCGAAUGGAUAUGAUUUAUACCAUUGAAGAUGUCCCGCCAUGGUACCUCUGUAUCUUUCUUGGUCUACAGCACUACUUGACUUGUUUCAGUGGUACCAUUGCUGUGCCCUUUUUACUUGUUGAAGCCAUGUGUGUUGGAUAUGACCAGUGGGCCACUAGUCAGCUCAUUGGCACCAUCUUUUUUUGUGUGGGAAUCACCACUUUGCUGCAGACUAUAUUUGGCUGUAGGCUUCCUCUAUUCCAGGCCAGUGCCUUUGCUUUUCUUGCCCCUGCUCGGGCCAUUCUGGCUCUGGACAAGUGGAAGUGCAACACUACAGAUGUGCCUGUUCUGAACGGUACUGAGCUGCUGCACACUGAACAUAUUUGGUACCCCCGGAUUCGAGAGAUUCAGGGGGCCAUCAUCAUCUCUUCCAUGAUUGAAGUAUUCAUUGGGAUUCUGGGGCUCCCUGGUGUUCUCCUUAAGUACAUUGGUCCUCUCACAAUCACCCCAACAGUCUCUUUGAUUGGUCUGUCUGGGUUCCAGGCUGCAGGCGAACGUGCUGGCAAGCACUGGGGCAUUGCCAUGUUGACAAUUUUCUUGGUGCUGCUCUUCUCGCAGUAUGCUCGCAAUGUUCACCUACCCCUUCCAAUUUACAAGUCUAAAAAAGGAUGGACGGCUUAUCGUCUUCAGUUCUUUAAAAUGUUUCCUAUUAUCAUGGCCAUACUGAUGUCUUGGUUGUUGUGCUUCAUCUUUACUGUGACGGAUGUCUUCCCCCCAGAGAAGGACAAGUAUGGUUACUAUGCACGGACAGAUGCUCGUCAGGGCAUCUUAACAGUUGCACCUUGGUUUAAAGUGCCCUACCCGUUCCAGUGGGGCCUCCCAACAGUGUCAGCAGCGGGAGUUAUUGGCAUGUUCAGUGCAGUGGUUGCCAGUAUCAUUGAGUCAAUCGGAGAUUACUAUGCCUGUGCCCGACUUUCGUGUGCCCCACCUCCUCCAAUCCAUGCCAUCAACAGGGGAAUUUUUAUAGAAGGUCUUUCAUGUGUAGUAGAUGGCAUCUUUGGCACUGGAAAUGGUUCCACUUCCUCGAGCCCUAACAUUGGGGUACUUGGUAUUACAAAGGUGGGCAGCAGGCGAGUUAUUCAAUAUGGGGCUGUCUUCAUGCUUCUGCUUGGCACCAUUGGAAAGUUCAGUGCUCUGUUUGCAUCUCUGCCAGACCCUGUGCUUGGUGCCCUGUUCUGCACCCUAUUUGGAAUGAUUACAGCAGUUGGCCUGUCCAACCUCCAGUUUGUUGAUCUCAAUUCAUCUCGGAACCUUUUUGUUCUGGGCUUUUCAAUCUUCUUUGGACUGGUUCUGCCAAGCUAUCUGAAACAAAACCCGCUUGUGACAGGCAUUGCAGAGAUCGAUCAAGUCUUGAAUGUGCUGCUUACAACAGCCAUGUUUGUCGGUGGCUCAGUGGCUUUCAUUUUGGACAACACUAUUCCUGGCACACUAGAGGAGCGUGGAAUUCGGAAGUGGAAGCGGGGUGUUGGAAAAGGGAGUUCUGAUGUCCAAGGAAUGGAGUCCUAUGACCUACCCUUUGGAAUGACCUUUCUUCAGAAACACAAGAUAUUCCAGUAUUUACCCAUCAGUCCCACAUUCUCAGGGUACAACUGGCAGCCCUGUAGAAAAAGGGGUCAUCCUCAAAGAAGGAGUUCAGAGAGUACCAUUGGAAAAUCAGGGGUAUAGCCAAAGGGGGAAUAGUCUGACAGAUAUGUUAGAUGGGUAUUGUAAACAGUUCUAAAAGCAUCUUCCUUUUAUAUUAGUAAGCAGAAGGUCACUUUUGUUUUUGUUUAGUGAGAAUAUUUGCUGCCAAAGAGAGAAAAAAAAAAUAGAACUAACCUAAUGGUAAGAGUUGAGACAAUCUAAUUACCAAGGGUUGAUUUUUGAUGAAACACUUGUUGGAUAUUUGACUUGUUGUAAUACUUGCACAGGAGCCUGGCAACAUUUUGUUUUCCAUGAAGUCAGCAUUUUAGUUUUUAUUUAUCUAAUGUAAAACAGAGUGUUAAUUGUAAUUCUGACUAUCAGUGCCACAGUUUAAUCAAAAGUGGCUGUGCAGCAAGCAUGGCUUUGUAGCUGAGGACACUGUGUUACACAGUAGAGAUGAAUCUUGCGUAAUGUUAUAAAAUAAUAAUAAUGAUAAAAUGUUUACCUAAGUACAGGGGCUUGCUGCCUAGCCGACAGAAUCAAAUGGGCUGACCAGUGGAAGCCUAAUGCCCUGGAUCUAUUACAAUUUCUUAGAUGGACAUUAUUUGCUGAGCCCUGGGCAUUAUUUUGCCUCUAUUUUAUGAGGAAACCUGAGGAAGUGUGAUGCUUUUAAAACUGUUACAAAUGGUUAUAGGGGUGACAAUGCUUAUCUGUCACUGUUUCAUUUUGUCAGUUUUUUGUACAAUCUGAAGACCUUUUGUAUUUGGUCCAUUGUCACCUUGGCCUUGAUUUAUGCAUUAAUUUAAUGGAAAGAAAGUGUGCACCUUACUGGAGGCAUUUUGUGCCCAUUAACUCUACUGGGUACAAAAUGCAGAAAAAAAAGUUCAACAAGCAUGUUUGCCUUUAUUUUUAAAGGCUAAUGUGAAACACUGCACAAGAGAAUGCAAGUUGGCAAAAUUUCUCAGUUCUUGGGACCUCACUGCUAAAACAUUCUCUGUUUUAACAGCUUUGUUAACUGUCAAUUCAGAGAUUUAUUUUUUAUUGUUGAUUUUUUUUUUUUUUAAUAUGACUUUUGCACACGCAUCUAUAUUUAUUCUUGAUUAGACUGAAAAUCAGCCACCCAUUUUCAGAAUUACUUGCAAGACCACCUUUUUGUGUUGCUCCACAGACAGAUAGAGAAACUGUUGUAAGACAUGGGCCAAUUCAUUUUUUUGACCUAAUGAAGCAUAUACUGUAUACUGUCAGAUACAUUAGCCAUCUAUAAACUCACACAUCUACACCUCCAUAUGUUUCAAUAUAGACAUGGUUUAUUGAUAGACUUAGACAAAUUAUUAGUAUCUGAUAAUUGCAUAUUGCUGGACCUUGUUUAGUAAUUUAUUAAAACAGCUAAUUCCAUAUUAGUGAUAACAAAAUGAAGAGUCAUUUUGGCAUUUGUUACAAGCAGUACCUUCAAAUAGGGGACAUGAAUAAAAGCUGUGUGGUUUUCAGGCUAGCAAAAUGCAGAGGGCUUCUUUUGAGUACCAAAGUCGGUGUGUCUAUAAAAUUGAAUAGAAUUUUAGAGAAGCUGAAAACAGUGUCUGUAAUACUACACGCAGUGAAAGGGUCUGUUUUUGGGGACAUUUGUCAUUGUCAUGUUUAUAAGGUUACAACAUCUGUUGCAACUUCUCCUACUUUUACACUUGUCCAGACAUACAAAUGUAAAUCUAAACCUUCCAUUCAUCCAUUAUAAGAACCUACUUAUUCCAUUAUGUCACUGACAUGUAAUCCACACAACUGAAAAGUCUGAAAUAUACCAUCCAUCCAUCCAUCCAUCCAUUUUCCAGCCAAACAUACCAUGACAUUUGGACUUCUGGUAGACUUAACCUAGACACAUAACUAUAUCCCCAUUAUAGAUGUGUAUGUUUUAAGCAUUAAUUUGUACACCUACUUAAAGUCAAAGGAAAUUUUGGAUGAAUAACAAACAUUUACACUUUCAUGUUAAAAAAACUGCUUCUCCGAAUGCUCUGCAUGUAUCUGCACAGAUGGAUAUGAGGUCAGUUUGCAAAAUUUGUCUUGUGUAGGUAGGUUAUGUUGGUGUUUCUCAGUAUGUUUUUAACAGUUUGUCACUGAGUUGCCUUUUCCUUGUUCGUUUUUGCACAUCUACACAUAAACAUACGCACAUCUGUACAUUUCAAGUGGCUGUUCAGUAACGUGUUGAUUGCUGCCUAUCCCCUGGCCUUUAUCAAACAGGUUUCUCCAUCUUGCUGACAGGUCAUUGGGUCAUUACAUACACGUGCAUUUUUCAGUUUUAUCUUCUUUAUAUGCAACCUAGCUUUAACUCUGGCUGUGAUGUAUUAAGUGUUCAUUUUUGCCAAGUAAUAUAACAAGAGACAGAUACAGACAUAUAUACAAGUAACCUUUGAUGUCAAAGGUGAAAAUUAGACAUUGCAGCAAUAAUUGUUUUCGAAAGAAAGAAAAGGAAAAAAAAGUAAUAAUCCUGGACCAUUCUUUGAUAUAAGUAUCUUAAAAUACAAGGUUUGGAUCUUGAUGAUAAAACAGCUUUACAUCAAAGCUUGCGGCUAGGGUCUUUAUGGGCUCCAGUUGUUCUUGUGCUGGCUAAGAGCUUGCUUGCACACAGAGCCCUGCUGCCAGGCCAGACGUAUAGUGCAUUUAUAUACGCAUACCCAGGGUUCAAUUUGCAUUUUUACCCACUCACUUUGCAAUUGUGACGGUAUGGAAACACUGCCUUAUAUUAAUCCUGCGGAGCAGUGCUUUCUGGUGAGGAUUCAGAUGUUCUGUACUUUGUAUUUAUUCUUGUAGAUUUAGCUGAGGAAUAGUGGGACCAUGUCUGCCCAUAGUGUCUCCAGGCUUAAAAUGUUAAAGCUAUUUAUUUGUUUUACUGUAUUUAAUGCCGUUAAUUCUCUGGUAACAACUAGGCUGUGCUAAAUAUAACUAUUAGAGGGGUGGAGGUAUGUAUAUACUUGCUAUUUAUCUCUUUAUACAGAUGUAAUGUAUAAUAUUCAGUCACCCCUUGCUGUAUUGAAUAUUUGUUUUGGAUUUUUUUUUUUUUCUACUAUCAAAAAAUUUUUUUAAAGAUAUAAUGUAUGAAGAACAGGGAAGCAUUAUUGGUUUCUCUGACAAUCCAUGUAAAUGAUGUGUUUUGGAGAGGGAGAUUAACCAUAUUGGCUUAAAUUAAAUCUCUGUUAACUGGGUGGCAGUUAGCUGUUUGCCGACUCCUGCGACUCUCUUGCUAGGGAGCACAGCCGGACAGCGGGCGGCGUGAUUAUCCCCGUAAGAAACUCCAGAACUGAAUUUGUUAGCUGCUCUCUUUGACUGCCUUCCCAUUGGGUAGGGCAAUGAGAAGGGGAGGAGUCCACACUGGAGGCUCCCGAGGCAAUUGUGCUCGCUGUCUUGCUAGGAAGCGGGUUCUCCGACAGCAUGAGACUGUUGCUAUGGUAAUGCCGAGCACAGUAAUGUGCGUCUUUUCUCAGAAGCUUUUCUUUUGGGUAGAGGAGGAGGAAAAGGAGGAGAAAAAACAAGAAAGAAGAUUUCAUUUCAGGCCUUGGGCUGACCUAUUCUGUUUGUGAAACUUGGGGUGGGGGGUUAGCUGGAUAAGUCCAUUUAAAAAAAAGAAACUAAAAUGAAUGCAGAAAUUGAUUGUGUGGACUCCUUUAGUUUACAAAAUUCACUGAGUUGGUGCUAAAGACAGAAAGGUCACUGGCUCCUUCCUAUGUGAAAAGUAGCAUACUGUAUGCAUAUCUGAAAGGAGCAAAGGUUUCCUUAUUGUUUGGUAUGUUUACGCUGGUUGUUGUUGUUUUUUUUUUUUAAUCAAAACCUGGGUAACUAAACUACCUUGGCUGUAUAUGGGAAUGAGGUAAGGACUUCUAAAAUGAAACAUCAAAUUAUAAAUUUCAACAGUUGUUUCUGAUAGCAGCAAUAUCUGGAAGGGUCCACCACAGAUAGCGUGACUGGCAAAUGUGGUUAUAUACUGAAAUCAUUCAAACUGUACGUAGACCGUAUAGUAUGAAACCUUCUACAAGGAAAGUUCCCAAUUCCUGGAAUGCUUAGUGCAAGAGAGUGAAUUCAGCCACAAAACAAUGUCUUCAGUUUGAAAUAUGUCAAUGUACUGGGUUUUGUUUUUCCAGGACACUUUGGAAGUGUCCAAAUAAGUUUUCCGUACAGGUAGGUGGUGUUCACCCAUCAAGUGAACCUCAAGAUCUUACUAAAGCCUUACUGGGGUGUGUUUGUGGAAAGUGCUGUAAGAUAAGGAUGUCGGACAUAUUCCUUCCCAGUUAGAGACCUACUACUGCUAUAAAUGCAUCGGCUUUGGUAAACUCUGUAGGAUUACAAACCUUUUCAGUUAUUUUUAACUAAUAAAGUUAUCUUUUGACUCUUCAACUGAUUUAUUUAUUUUUUCUUCUAUGAGCUGUCAAUUAACAAUGUGACGCACAUAGCAAGAUCACCGAGAAUGACUUACUGAGUACUUACUAGUUGUCUUAUACUAGGCAUUCAUUGUAUAUGUCUACUAUAAGAAGAUCUGCCAGCCAGUUUGCCACAACUGGGUGACCUUUUGCCUCCUUAGAGGCAGAAUCUAUUCACACCACGUAGAGCCAGCACAGCUGUCUAGCUUUGCAAAUAGCACUGGGCUGUUGUUUUUCAGACUGUCUUUGAAUAGAAAGCAUAAUAAAUAAAUAAUAGGCUCUUUUGUGGGCUUUGACACCUAGUAAUGAGAACCCAAGGCUCUUGGUCACCUGGAAUGCUGGCAGCCCCAACCUAAACAGCAAGCAGUUUGCAUGCAAGACCUUGUGUUAAAUGCCUGAACGUCUCGCUUUAAUUCUCAUGCACCAGGAACAAUGAGCCAAACAACAGCUACAUUUUGUGACGUAUGUUCAGCCGGAUAAAUCAGCUGUUUCAAACCAUCAAGUGGAUGCUUUUCAGCUGUUGUACUAAGCAUUCAAACUCUUUCUCAUUCUUGAGGGUGCUUGGUUGUUAAUAAAAUUGAAAAGGUGCAAAUCAUGGCAUGAGGAAUAUUAUUCCUGGAUAAUUGGAAUGCUGCUAAUAUGUCAUAUCAUUUUUACUAACUUGAAAGGACACUACUUGCCCCGUUUUAUUUUUUUUUUCUUUAGCCUCCCCAUUCUACUUUCCUCCUCAAGACUUCUUAAAUGAUUCCAGGGGUUUUAACGCAAAAAUGCAGUAUUGACGCCAUUCUAUUUGACUUUUUUUUUUUUUUCUUUUAUUAUAAACUGAAAGCUUAAGUUUUGUGAUGACAGUAGUAUGUCCGGCUAUAAAACGCACCUUUUUUCCUUGUAUUACAGAAAAUUAAACAAGCUUGUGUUUUAGAAAUAAAGUAGUUCUAUAUUGUUCAAUGAAAAUGAUGAGCUGUUGUUCUUUUGUCAGAGUUUUUCAUAAUGUAUUUUUCUAACCAUGCCUUGUUUAUCACAUUUAAAUAAAAUGCAAAUGGAAAUAUAUUAAAUAUGUGCUAUUAACUUGGACCAGACAUUGUGCAUAAUAGUAUUGAAAAUGAUCUGUUUUAUUCCAUAUUCCUAAAAGCUGUCUAUUUAAUAAAACUUAAACAAUUCAGUUUGAAA
Erpetoichthys calabaricus (reedfish) is the source of this 7826-nucleotide RNA transcript. It is a transcript of the gene named solute carrier family 23 member 2, with no coding region annotated. NCBI's taxonomy places the organism in Eukaryota, Metazoa, Chordata, Cladistia, Polypteriformes, Polypteridae. The record is from RefSeq and is a predicted model, not a curated record. The transcript is spliced from 17 exons.